This 404-nucleotide ribosomal RNA is filed under the name Acidobacteriota bacterium. RNAcentral describes it as "Acidobacteria bacterium partial 16S ribosomal RNA". It matches the Rfam family "Bacterial small subunit ribosomal RNA", at positions 355 to 776 of the family's 1533-position model. Lineage: Bacteria; Pseudomonadati; Acidobacteriota. The record is from RNAcentral.
UGGGGAAUAUUGCACAAUGGGGGAAACCCUGAUGCAGCGACGCCGCGUGAGCGAUGAAGGCUUUCGAGUCGUAAAGCUCUGUCCUAUGGGAAGAUAAUGACGGUACCAUAGAAGAAAGCCCCGGCUAAUUACGUGCCAGCAGCCGCGGUAAUACGUAAGGGGCGAGCGUUGUCCGGAAUUAUUGGGCGUAAAGAGUGCGUAGGCGGCAAAUUAAGUCAGAUGUGAAAACGAAGGGCUCAACCCAUAGAUUGCAUCUGAAACUGAUAUGCUUGAGUCAAGGAGAGGAAAGUGGAAUUCCUAGUGUAGCGGUGGAAGGCGUAGAUAUUAGGAGGAAUACCGGUGGCGAAGGCGACUUUCUGGACUUGAACUGACGCUGAGGCACGAAAGCGUGGGGAGCAAACAGG